This 26-nucleotide non-coding RNA is filed under the name Rattus norvegicus (Norway rat). The record is from RNAcentral. Lineage: Eukaryota; Metazoa; Chordata; Mammalia; Rodentia; Muridae.
UGACUAUUCUGUCCUUCCCUGUGCUC